AACGAACGCUGGCGGCAGGCCUAACACAUGCAAGUCGAACGCCCCGCAAGGGAGUGGCAGACGGGUGAGUAACACGUGGGAACAUACCCUUCGGUUCGGAAUAACUCAGGGAAACUUGAGCUAAGACCGGAUACGUCCGCGAGGAGAAAGAUUCAUCGCCGGAGGAUUGGCCCCGCGUCCGAUUAGCUAGUUGGUGAGGUAACGGCUCACCAAGGCGACGAUCGGUAGCUGGUCUGAGAGGAUGAUCAGCCACAUUGGGACUGAGACACGGCCCAAACUCCUACGGGAGGCAGCAGUGGGGAAUAUUGGACAAUGGGCGAAAGCCUGAUCCAGCCAUGCCGCGUGAGUGAUGAAGGCCCUAGGGUUAGUAAAGCUCUUUCGUCAGGGACGAUAAUGACGGUACCUGAAGAAGAA
Molecule: ribosomal RNA, 414 nt
Filed under: uncultured bacterium
Lineage: Bacteria
Description: bacterial SSU rRNA
Rfam family: Bacterial small subunit ribosomal RNA
Source: RNAcentral